RNAcentral lists this ribosomal RNA (253 nucleotides) under uncultured bacterium. RNAcentral's name for it is "partial 16S ribosomal RNA". It matches the Rfam family "Bacterial small subunit ribosomal RNA", at positions 524 to 776 of the family's 1533-position model. The record is from RNAcentral.
UACAGAGGGUGCAAGCGUUAAUCGGAAUUACUGGGCGUAAAGAGCACGUAGGUGGUUAGGUGAGUCAGAUGUGAAAUCCCCGGGCUUAACCUGGGAACUGCAUUUGAUACUGCCUGGCUAGAGUUUAGUAGAGGGAAGUGGAAUUCCACAUGUAGCGGUGAAAUGCGUAGAGAUGUGGAGGAACACCAGUGGCGAAGGCGGCUUCCUGGACUAAAACUGACACUGAGGUGCGAAAGCGUGGGUAGCAAACAGG